Molecule: ribosomal RNA, 1401 nt
Filed under: Bacillus safensis
Lineage: Bacteria; Bacillati; Bacillota; Bacilli; Caryophanales; Bacillaceae
Description: bacterial SSU rRNA
Rfam family: Bacterial small subunit ribosomal RNA
Source: RNAcentral
AGCGAACAGAAGGGAGCUUGCUCCCGGAUGUUAGCGGCGGACGGGUGAGUAACACGUGGGUAACCUGCCUGUAAGACUGGGAUAACUCCGGGAAACCGGAGCUAAUACCGGAUAGUUCCUUGAACCGCAUGGUUCAAGGAUGAAAGACGGUUUCGGCUGUCACUUACAGAUGGACCCGCGGCGCAUUAGCUAGUUGGUGGGGUAAUGGCUCACCAAGGCGACGAUGCGUAGCCGACCUGAGAGGGUGAUCGGCCACACUGGGACUGAGACACGGCCCAGACUCCUACGGGAGGCAGCAGUAGGGAAUCUUCCGCAAUGGACGAAAGUCUGACGGAGCAACGCCGCGUGAGUGAUGAAGGUUUUCGGAUCGUAAAGCUCUGUUGUUAGGGAAGAACAAGUGCGAGAGUAACUGCUCGCACCUUGACGGUACCUAACCAGAAAGCCACGGCUAACUACGUGCCAGCAGCCGCGGUAAUACGUAGGUGGCAAGCGUUGUCCGGAAUUAUUGGGCGUAAAGGGCUCGCAGGCGGUUUCUUAAGUCUGAUGUGAAAGCCCCCGGCUCAACCGGGGAGGGUCAUUGGAAACUGGGAAACUUGAGUGCAGAAGAGGAGAGUGGAAUUCCACGUGUAGCGGUGAAAUGCGUAGAGAUGUGGAGGAACACCAGUGGCGAAGGCGACUCUCUGGUCUGUAACUGACGCUGAGGAGCGAAAGCGUGGGGAGCGAACAGGAUUAGAUACCCUGGUAGUCCACGCCGUAAACGAUGAGUGCUAAGUGUUAGGGGGUUUCCGCCCCUUAGUGCUGCAGCUAACGCAUUAAGCACUCCGCCUGGGGAGUACGGUCGCAAGACUGAAACUCAAAGGAAUUGACGGGGGCCCGCACAAGCGGUGGAGCAUGUGGUUUAAUUCGAAGCAACGCGAAGAACCUUACCAGGUCUUGACAUCCUCUGACAACCCUAGAGAUAGGGCUUUCCCUUCGGGGACAGAGUGACAGGUGGUGCAUGGUUGUCGUCAGCUCGUGUCGUGAGAUGUUGGGUUAAGUCCCGCAACGAGCGCAACCCUUGAUCUUAGUUGCCAGCAUUUAGUUGGGCACUCUAAGGUGACUGCCGGUGACAAACCGGAGGAAGGUGGGGAUGACGUCAAAUCAUCAUGCCCCUUAUGACCUGGGCUACACACGUGCUACAAUGGACAGAACAAAGGGCUGCAAGACCGCAAGGUUUAGCCAAUCCCAUAAAUCUGUUCUCAGUUCGGAUCGCAGUCUGCAACUCGACUGCGUGAAGCUGGAAUCGCUAGUAAUCGCGGAUCAGCAUGCCGCGGUGAAUACGUUCCCGGGCCUUGUACCCCCCGCCCGUCACACCACGAGAGUUUGCAACACCGGGAAGUCGGUGAGGUAACCUUUAUGGAG